RNAcentral lists this non-coding RNA (52 nucleotides) under unclassified sequences. RNAcentral's name for it is "Xanthine-I sequence". It matches the Rfam family "Xanthine riboswitch aptamer (NMT1 RNA)". From Rfam's summary of the family: Later it was reported as a ncRNA that recognised Xanthine. The record is from RNAcentral.
CACCGGAGUAGAAGCUGGCAGGGGGUCCGCACCCCGGGUCAUUGCUCCCUUC